CUCCCCAUGGUGAAAAAAACCAAAAUUUCUGUGCUGGCACCAGCCUCUGAGCCACCUAUUAACCACGCGAGCUUUCCGUGUCCUAUAUAUCUAUGCGUACACAUACUUUUUCAGUUCUUUGUGUUUCUCAGCUGUUUUUGAGAGAGGAUUACAUACACGGGCAUGGUGUUGAAGCACAACAUCCAAGUGUUCAUUUAAAAAGUCUCCUGUUGGUAUAUUGCAUGGUUAGCUACAGGCUGGGAUUAAUCAAUUAAUCAAUCUGCUUAACUGAUUCCUGUUCCUCAGUUUCUUCCCCCUAGAAAUGGAGGUAUUAUAAUCCAAUCCCAGAGUGAUUUUAAGAGGUGCUGGGGGAUAACUAUACUGUGGUGAUCAUGGUGGGUAGGAGUAUUUAAACUAACAUUAGGUUUCAGCUCCAAAUGGAGUGAGACACUCAGAAACAGGUGGGAGAAUGAAGGGAAAUUCAAGGACUUUGAACAAUUCAGGGAAACUCUAAAUGAGACGUACUAUUACUAGAGAAGAAAAUUACCUACAAACUGGAGAGAAUCCACAGAAAAGCAAAGAGGAUACUGGAAAACUACCAUGAGGGAAGGCUGAAGUCAAUGCAUUUACUUUACAAAAAAAAGAGUAGACUGAACACAGGAAUGACAAGUUUUCCAUUUAAUUUUUUAUGAACUACUUCAAGCUGAACAGUGCUCAGUUUUUCCACCUUUGCCACCGGAUGGAUGACAUCAGCACAGCUAAUCUGCAAAAGGAAGAAGAGAGUCAUUUACCCCUGUCCCGUGCUGUGCCAAGAUACAUAAGGUACUUCAAAAACUAGGAAAAGCAGAUGAAACAAAAGAUGAACAAUUUGAAGAAUAUGUACAAAAUUUCAAAAGACAAGAGGUCAGUUACUUUUUCAGUUUCUUUAAUUGUCUCUUAAGAAGAAUGCACUGUAUUUUAACUUUUGAUUUUGAAGAAGGUGUUGCAGGGGAGAAAGUAAAAGAAAAUGUUUUGAACCAUAUUGGUGUAAGAUUUUGUUCAACAGUUUUCAAACAGAAAAGAAUGAUUGGAUUUGUGUGUGCAAAUAUGUAAGAUGUGCAUUCAUAUUAAAUAGCUAUAUUCUAAUAAUGUACAACACUGUCAUGCCAGAACUCCUUGGGAUCAAUGAAGUGUAUGCACAUUUUCAACAGUGUAAUUGAGAACAAAACCCAAACCCAAUGUGAUAUAGCUUUGUAGUUGCCUUGUUACAAAGAAAUAAUUUAUUUCCUUGGUUUCAUUUUGUGGGUUGUUUUCAUCAAUGGUAUAUAAUAAUACUAGUUUUAUAUGAAGUGAACAGCAGAAUAGUUUUAGACUGCUGUGUGUUGUUAUGCUCCCUGUUAGUGCAGGGAUGACAAGAUCUGUGGUGGCAGUGCUGAUGAAUCACUCCUGGGGAGCAGGGUUCAAUUAUAAACACAUAUGAAAACAAAGGUGCCCUUAAGAGUUUAUAAUCUGCUCCCAGUGCAAUGUUAAAUUCUAACCUCUAUUACUCCUCACUUUGUUGGACAGACUUUUCAGCUCCAAGUUGAUUAAUUGCAAUUAAUUAUAUAGCAGCAUUCUAGUACAAAUUAAUGCCUACCAUGAGCUGCAUUAAUGCCAUCAAGAAAACAAUCUCAUUAUGUAAGUGUGAACUGAGGUAUCAGUAGCCUUCAUGAGCUAUCUUUUAAAGCUCAUAUGUAAAGGUACUGAAGGGUAAGAACUACUUCCACACUUUACGUGAUGUAAAAAUUUGUUCAUUUUAGGGUUUUCAAUUCCUACCCUGAGUCAGUCCUGUCUACCACAUGCAUUUCUGUCCUUUCCACAUAAACACAAAUCAUGCACUCUGAUUUGCUAGGGCACUGACUAACUCUUUUAUAUCUUAUGGUGACUUAGCCAUUAUUUUCCACUGUCUGUCUAGAGAAAGAGAGGGAGGUUUGGGGAGUAACUGGGCUGGGCAGAUGUCCAUUCUUCCCCCAAAAUGAUGAUGAUGGGAAGUAAAGAAUCUGUUUCUCUAACGAGGGUGGUUCCUUCCUCAAGGUCAGGAAGAUGAUGGGAUAUAAUAGGGCUGAAAAAACAC
This is a long non-coding RNA of Anser cygnoides (Swan goose), 2071 nucleotides long. NCBI's taxonomy places the organism in Eukaryota, Metazoa, Chordata, Aves, Anseriformes, Anatidae. The record is from Ensembl.